Molecule: ribosomal RNA, 332 nt
Filed under: uncultured Anaerolinea sp.
Lineage: Bacteria; Bacillati; Chloroflexota; Anaerolineae; Anaerolineales; Anaerolineaceae
Description: bacterial SSU rRNA
Rfam family: Bacterial small subunit ribosomal RNA
Source: RNAcentral
CGUGCAGGCGGUCUGGUAAGUUGGAUGUGAAAGCUCCUGGCUUAACUGGGAGAGGUCGUUCAAUACUGCUGGACUAGAGGAUGGCAGAGGGGAGUGGAAUUCCGAGUGUAGCGGUAAAAUGCAUAGAUAUUCGGAAGAACACCAGUGGCGAAGGCGGCUCUCUGGGCCAUAUCUGACGCUCAGACGCGAAAGCUAGGGUAGCAAACGGGAUUAGAGACCCCGGUAGUCCUAGCCGUAAACGAUGUGAACUUGGCGUUGGUGGGUUCAAAUCCAUCAGUGCCGUAGCAAACGCGAUAAGUUCACCACCUGGGGACUACGGCCGCAAGGUUAAA